GUGGACGUCGCCGCCGCCGUAGUAGGGGCACGUCGCCAACGCCGCCCUCCGCGGCCGCUGCUGGAGUCGUCGCCGCCGCCGCAGGAGUGCACGUCGCCCCUGCCGCCGUGGGGGCACGUCGUCAACGCCGCCCCCUGCGCCCGUCGCCGCCGCCGCUGCAGGUGCUCGUCGCCCCUGCCGCCGACUCCUGCAAACUCUUUAUGGGUGAAGAUAUGGCAGACAAUAUCAGGACCCUUGAGGAGGAAGAGGAGUAUCGUACGAUUACUGCUAUGAGAUUCAAGACUGAGGAUGACGGCUUCAAGUUAUAGGCUAUUAUAUUUUGCAAUCAUGUCUCUAAGUUGUUUUGUCAUUCCUACAAUUUCAGGAAAGUAGAAGAAGAUGUGUGAGAUGGAUAAGAAGUAGAAGCAGCCCUUUGCUAUGCACUUUACAUAGUUUUGUCAUGCUCUUGGUCGUAAUGAAUACAUUGGACUGUAAUGAAUCUUGAUGUGCUUUCCUGUAGUAUGAUGGAUGUACUGCUAUUUUGAGUUGUGCUCGCAUGGUUGAAUUUUGAUGUGUUUUACUGU
Molecule: long non-coding RNA, 563 nt
Filed under: Oryza sativa Indica Group (long-grained rice)
Lineage: Eukaryota; Viridiplantae; Streptophyta; Magnoliopsida; Poales; Poaceae
Description: lncRNA OsPr106_01g0015380
Source: RNAcentral